GUGCUCUCUUUGGCAGCACAAAUACCUAAACUGGAACAAUACAGAAAAGAUUAGCACGGCCCCUGAGCAAGGAUGAUAUGCAAAUUCGUGAAGUUUCAUAUUUUUUC
Small nuclear RNA from Ochotona princeps (American pika), 107 nucleotides. The record is from Ensembl. Lineage: Eukaryota; Metazoa; Chordata; Mammalia; Lagomorpha; Ochotonidae.